AGUCAAGAACCACAACAGAUUAGAGCUCAGGAAAAAUCCAUGGUGUGGUGUGUCUGGUUCUGAGCAGAUUCACUCGAGGUGAAUCAGAGCAGUUUGUCGGUACUUUAUGUACAUAUGAAGCCUUGAGAAAUAAAAGCAAAACGCAAUUGUGUUUGGACCUCACUGCUCACAUCCUGUCUGAAUUCUAAGAAACUGUGAGAUGAAGACUUCAGGGCAUCAGGAUAAAUUUGCUGCACGUGACUGAAAGCCAACCAGGGAGACUGAAGGUCAGGCUAAUGAGGGAAGCUGUGUGGGGGAGGUGCAGGGGUGUGAUGGAUUGGAGGGACCCUUAA
This 332-nucleotide long non-coding RNA is filed under the name Bos indicus x Bos taurus (hybrid cattle). Its description in RNAcentral is "lncRNA (ENSBIXG00005011572.1)". The record is from RNAcentral. Lineage: Eukaryota; Metazoa; Chordata; Mammalia; Artiodactyla; Bovidae.